GAUGAAAGGAAAUCAAGGAAGAUUUUCAGAGGGCAGGUGGGGGGAGGCUGGGGACCUUCCUGUGGGGGCACAAAUCUUGUCCUGUCACUGGAGGAUGCACACAGCUCAUGGAGACCACGUCAACCACCGGCCUAAGGAAAGCAGCGGGAAAGCUAAAGUGUGACGCGGCUUAAGCAGCUUGUCUGAGUUUGCACAGCUGGCAAAUGGCUGAGCCAUGACUCACACCCAGGUCCAUCCACCGCCAAAGCUCCAGAUCUCUGGCAUCCUUCUAAGGUCAGAAAGGGAAAGAAAUCCCUAAUAAGGAGCCUGUGUGACGGCGUGCCCCCCUCCACUUUCCCACCCCUGCCAAGGACCCGUUUGAAGGCUGUUCACGCCAGUCACUGCAAUCACCAUUGAGCACAGAGAUGACAGUUCCAGCAAGCACUGACCUUCCAGCCCACUCUGCGGAGGAGAAGACUGAGGGGCAGAGAGGCUGUUGAUUUGCUGCAGUUGACUCUGACCCUAAUUUCCCGGCGCUGACUCAAACUCAUCAGGAACACUGCUUUCACUGAGUGUAUGAAGUGGUUUCUCCAUCCGUGUGGCUUUACCUGAACUCACACCGGUCCCACGGCCCAGGUGUGGAGCCGAGCACUCCCCUCUGCCUCCUCCCUGGACUGCAGGACCUGUGUCUCGCUUUAUGAAAGAGAUGCCAUUUGGGGAAGACUCGCAUUGUCGGGAGCGCUGUGGACGCUCCAGAAGGAGAUCAACACGAUGAUGACGAUGCCGGGUGGAGGGAAUGUGCACUUCUCGGGAGGAGGAGCCAAAAGCAUUUUGCUGACCUCGGUGCAGAUCAACCCUGCAACAAGGUGCAGAAGAGGCACCAAAGGGGCUUUGUAGCCAGCAACAUGCCAGAUCCAUGCACCUUGUUGAUGCAGCCGACUCUGCAGGGGUGCAGGAGCCUCCUACUCACCUGGCCUCCACCGCCCACCCAGCACCCCUGGGGACUGUCCCCAUCCCCCCAGGGACUCCAGAGGGAAUGUGUUUUGUGCCGUGUGGAAAACAAGCCAUGCUCACUGCACACCACGACAGUCCCUUCAAGCUGUCAGAGUCCCUGCAUGUGGAGUGAAAAGGGGGAAAAAAGACAAUUUACAAUUGCAAAUUGGAACCCCUCUCUCGGAGUGGAGUGAUAAUCCAGCUAGGGAGACAGACGGUGAGGAAGUGCUCCAGGAACAUGUUACAACACAUCACUGCCUAGCAGAGACGAGAGGCUCCAGGAAGGACCUGGUGCCUGCCAUUCCAACCUUGAGGGGCUCCUGGAGGGACGCUGAGGACAAGGCGGCUGUCCCAUCACCUCACUCUUGUCUCUGCCCUCACCUCUCCCCACCGUGCAGGGCUCAGGACUACGGGCGCCCAGACACAAAGGCCCAGAGCCACAGAACAGUGAACUCCACACUGUGCAGCUGUUGGCGGGAGGGGCGGGGAGAGAGACCAGAGUCCCAUUUCUGCUGCCUUUUAAAUAAAAGACAAGGAGGAUGGCGAGGAGGAGGUCAAAACUCACUGCAGUCUAUACCGCGGCACAGAUCCCGACUC
Molecule: long non-coding RNA, 1569 nt
Filed under: Homo sapiens (human)
Lineage: Eukaryota; Metazoa; Chordata; Mammalia; Primates; Hominidae
Description: HSALNT0289900
Source: RNAcentral